Molecule: ribosomal RNA, 225 nt
Filed under: bacterium HC-37
Lineage: Bacteria
Description: partial 16S ribosomal RNA
Rfam family: Bacterial small subunit ribosomal RNA
Source: RNAcentral
GGUGGGCACUCUAGAAUGACUGCCGGUGACAAACCGGAGGAAGGGGGGGAUGACGUCAAAUCAUCAUGCCCCUUAUGACCUGGGCUACACACGUACUACAAUGGCCAAUACAACGGGAAGCGAAGCCGCGAGGUGGAGCCAAUCCUAUCAAAGCCGGUCUCAGUUCGGAUUGCAGGCUGCAACUCGCCUGCAUGAAGUCGGAAUUGCUAGUAAUCGCGGAUCAGC